Molecule: ribosomal RNA, 253 nt
Filed under: uncultured bacterium
Lineage: Bacteria
Description: partial 16S ribosomal RNA
Rfam family: Bacterial small subunit ribosomal RNA
Source: RNAcentral
UACAGAGGGUGCGAGCGUUAAUCGGAAUUACUGGGCGUAAAGCGCACGUAGUCGGCUUUGCAAGUCGGGUGUGAAAUCCCCGGGCUCAACCUGGGAACUGCAUCCGAGACUGCAUUGCUAGAGUAUGGGAGAGGGAAGCGGAAUUUCUGGUGUAGCAGUGAAAUGCGUAGAUAUCUGGAGGAACAUCGGUGGCGAAGGCGGCAUCCUGGACCGGUAUUGACGCUGAGGCGCGAAAGCCAGGGGAGCAAACGGG